GAAACACGGACCAAGGAGUCUAGCAUGUGCGCGAGUCAUUGGGAAUCACUAAACCUAAAGGCGCAAUGAAAGUGAAGGUUCGCCUAGCGCGGACCGAGGGAGGAUGGGUGUGCGCGUUCGCGCGCCGCUCCGCACUCCCGGGGCGUCUCGUUCUCAUUGCGAGAAGAGGCGCACCAUGAGCGUACACGCUGGGACCCGAAAGAUGGUGAACUAUGCCUGGUCAGGACGAAGUCAGGGGAAACCCUGAUGGAGGUCCGUAGCGAUUCUGACGUGCAAAUCGAUCGUCGGAACUGGGUAUAGGGGCGAAAGACUAAUCGAACCAUCUAGUAGCUGGUUCCCUCCGAAGUUUCCCUCAGGAUAGCUGGCGCUCGUCGCCUACGAGUCUCAUCCGGUAAAGCGAAUGAUUAGAGGCAUUGGGGUCGAAACGGCCUCAACCUAUUCUCAAACUUUAAAUGGGUGAGAUCUCCGGCUUGCUCGAACUUAUGAAGCCGCGAGACACGGAUCAGAGUGCCAAGUGGGCCAUUUUUGGUAAGCAGAACUGGCGCUGUGGGAUGAACCAAACGCCGAGUUAAAGCGCCUAAAUCGACGCUUAUGGGAUACCAUGAAAGGCGUUGGUAACUUAAGACAGCAGGACGGUGGCCAUGGAAGUCGGAAUCCG
This 658-nucleotide ribosomal RNA is filed under the name Platyclerus sp. G0004. RNAcentral describes it as "partial 28S large subunit ribosomal RNA". It matches the Rfam family "Eukaryotic large subunit ribosomal RNA", at positions 656 to 1270 of the family's 3401-position model. The record is from RNAcentral. Lineage: Eukaryota; Metazoa; Arthropoda; Insecta; Coleoptera; Cleridae.